Molecule: ribosomal RNA, 2923 nt
Filed under: Escherichia coli O157:H7
Lineage: Bacteria; Pseudomonadati; Pseudomonadota; Gammaproteobacteria; Enterobacterales; Enterobacteriaceae
Description: bacterial LSU rRNA
Rfam family: Bacterial large subunit ribosomal RNA
Source: RNAcentral
GGGUUGUGAGGUUAAGCGACUAAGCGUACACGGUGGAUGCCCUGGCAGUCAGAGGCGAUGAAGGACGUGCUAAUCUGCGAUAAGCGUCGGUAAGGUGAUAUGAACCGUUAUAACCGGCGAUUUCCGAAUGGGGAAACCCAGUGUGUUUCGACACACUAUCAUUAACUGAAUCCAUAGGUUAAUGAGGCGAACCGGGGGAACUGAAACAUCUAAGUACCCCGAGGAAAAGAAAUCAACCGAGAUUCCCCCAGUAGCGGCGAGCGAACGGGGAGCAGCCCAGAGCCUGAAUCAGUGUGUGUGUUAGUGGAAGCGUCUGGAAAGGCGCGCGAUACAGGGUGACAGCCCCGUACACAAAAAUGCACAUAUUGUGAGCUCGAUGAGUAGGGCGGGACACGUGGUAUCCUGUCUGAAUAUGGGGGGACCAUCCUCCAAGGCUAAAUACUCCUGACUGACCGAUAGUGAACCAGUACCGUGAGGGAAAGGCGAAAAGAACCCCGGCGAGGGGAGUGAAAAAGAACCUGAAACCGUGUACGUACAAGCAGUGGGAGCCUCUUUUAUGGGGUGACUGCGUACCUUUUGUAUAAUGGGUCAGCGACUUAUAUUCUGUAGCAAGGUUAACCGAAUAGGGGAGCCGAAGGGAAACCGAGUCUUAACCGGGCGUUAAGUUGCAGGGUAUAGACCCGAAACCCGGUGAUCUAGCCAUGGGCAGGUUGAAGGUUGGGUAACACUAACUGGAGGACCGAACCGACUAAUGUUGAAAAAUUAGCGGAUGACUUGUGGCUGGGGGUGAAAGGCCAAUCAAACCGGGAGAUAGCUGGUUCUCCCCGAAAGCUAUUUAGGUAGCGCCUCGUGAAUUCAUCUCCGGGGGUAGAGCACUGUUUCGGCAAGGGGUCAUCCCGACUUACCAACCCGAUGCAACUGCGAUACCGGAGAAUGUAUCACGGGAGACACACGGCGGGUGCUACGUCCGUCGUGAGAGGGAAACAACCCAGACCGCCAGCUAAGGUCCCAAAGUCAUGGUUAAGUGGGAAACGAUGUGGGAAGGCCCAGACAGCCAGGAUGUUGGCUUAGAAGCAGCCAUCAUUUAAAGAAAGCGUAAUAGCUCACUGGUCGAGUCGGCCUGCGCGGAAGAUGUAACGGGGCUAAACAAUGCACCGAAGCUGCGGCAGCGACACUGUGUGUUGUUGGGUAGGGGAGCGUUCUGUAAGCCUGUGAAGGUGUACUGUAAGGUAUGCUGGAGGUAUCAGAAGUGCGAAUGCUGACAUAAGUAACGAUAAAGCGGGUGAAAAGCCCGCUCGCCGGAAGACCAAGGGUUCCUGUCCAACGUUAAUCGGGGCAGGGUGAGUCGACCCCUAAGGCGAGGCCGAAAGGCGUAGUCGAUGGGAAACAGGUUAAUAUUCCUGUACUUGGUGUUACUGCGAAGGGGGGACGGAGAAGGCUAUGUUGGCCGGGCGACGGUUGUCCCGGUUUAAGCGUGUAGGCUGGUUUUCCAGGCAAAUCCGGAAAAUCAAGGCUGAGGCGUGAUGACGAGGCACUACGGUGCUGAAGCAACAAAUGCCCUGCUUCCAGGAAAAGCCUCUAAGCAUCAGGUAACAUCAAAUCGUACCCCAAACCGACACAGGUGGUCAGGUAGAGAAUACCAAGGCGUUUGAGAGAACUCGGGUGAAGGAACUAGGCAAAAUGGUGCCGUAACUUCGGGAGAAGGCACGCUGAUAUGUAGGUGAAGUCCCUCGCGGAUGGAGCUGAAAUCAGUCGAAGAUACCAGCUGGCUGCAACUGUUUAUUAAAAACACAGCACUGUGCAAACACGAAAGUGGACGUAUACGGUGUGACGCCUGCCCGGUGCCGGAAGGUUAAUUGAUGGGGUCAGCGCAAGCGAAGCUCUUGAUCGAAGCCCCGGUAAACGGCGGCCGUAACUAUAACGGUCCUAAGGUAGCGAAAUUCCUUGUCGGGUAAGUUCCGACCUGCACGAAUGGCGUAAUGAUGGCCAGGCUGUCUCCACCCGAGACUCAGUGAAAUUGAACUCGCUGUGAAGAUGCAGUGUACCCGCGGCAAGACGGAAAGACCCCGUGAACCUUUACUAUAGCUUGACACUGAACAUUGAGCCUUGAUGUGUAGGAUAGGUGGGAGGCUUUGAAGUGUGGACGCCAGUCUGCAUGGAGCCGACCUUGAAAUACCACCCUUUAAUGUUUGAUGUUCUAACGUGGACCCGUGAUCCGGGUUGCGGACAGUGUCUGGUGGGUAGUUUGACUGGGGCGGUCUCCUCCUAAAGAGUAACGGAGGAGCACGAAGGUUGGCUAAUCCUGGUCGGACAUCAGGAGGUUAGUGCAAUGGCAUAAGCCAGCUUGACUGCGAGCGUGACGGCGCGAGCAGGUGCGAAAGCAGGUCAUAGUGAUCCGGUGGUUCUGAAUGGAAGGGCCAUCGCUCAACGGAUAAAAGGUACUCCGGGGAUAACAGGCUGAUACCGCCCAAGAGUUCAUAUCGACGGCGGUGUUUGGCACCUCGAUGUCGGCUCAUCACAUCCUGGGGCUGAAGUAGGUCCCAAGGGUAUGGCUGUUCGCCAUUUAAAGUGGUACGCGAGCUGGGUUUAGAACGUCGUGAGACAGUUCGGUCCCUAUCUGCCGUGGGCGCUGGAGAACUGAGGGGGGCUGCUCCUAGUACGAGAGGACCGGAGUGGACGCAUCACUGGUGUUCGGGUUGUCAUGCCAAUGGCACUGCCCGGUAGCUAAAUGCGGAAGAGAUAAGUGCUGAAAGCAUCUAAGCACGAAACUUGCCCCGAGAUGAGUUCUCCCUGACCCUUUAAGGGUCCUGAAGGAACGUUGAAGACGACGACGUUGAUAGGCCGGGUGUGUAAGCGCAGCGAUGCGUUGAGCUAACCGGUACUAAUGAACCGUGAGGCUUAACCUUACAACGCCGAAGCUGUU